GUCCCUGUAGCCCAACGGAUAGGGCGUUGGCCUCCGGAGCCAAAAAUGGCAGUUCGAUUCUGCCCAGGGACG
This 72-nucleotide transfer RNA is filed under the name Candidatus Omnitrophota bacterium. RNAcentral describes it as "tRNA-Arg". It matches the Rfam family "tRNA". Rfam says of the family: Transfer RNA (tRNA) molecules are approximately 80 nucleotides in length. Their secondary structure includes four short double-helical elements and three loops (D, anti-codon, and T loops). Lineage: Bacteria; Pseudomonadati; Candidatus Omnitrophota. The record is from RNAcentral.